GUGCUUACUUCGGCAGCACAUAUACUAAAAACUGGAAUGAUACAGAGAAGAUUAGCAUGGCCCCUGUGCAAGGAUGACAGGCAGAUUUGUGAAGUGUUCUAUAUUUUU
Molecule: small nuclear RNA, 108 nt
Organism: Balaenoptera musculus (blue whale)
Lineage: Eukaryota; Metazoa; Chordata; Mammalia; Artiodactyla; Balaenopteridae
Source: Ensembl